Molecule: ribosomal RNA, 447 nt
Filed under: uncultured bacterium
Lineage: Bacteria
Description: partial 16S ribosomal RNA
Rfam family: Bacterial small subunit ribosomal RNA
Source: RNAcentral
AGCGAACGCUGGCGGCAGGCCUAACACAUGCAAGUCGAACGAUCCUUCGGGAUAGUGGCGGACGGGUGAGUAACACGUGGGAACGUACCUUUAAGUGCGGGAUAACUCAGGGAAACUUGAGCUAAUACCGGAUGUGCCCUUCGGGGGAAAGAUUUAUCGCCUUUAGAGCGGCCCGCGUUAGAUUAGCUAGUUGGUGAGGUAAAGGCUCACCAAGGCUCCGAUCUAUAGCUGGUCUGAGAGGAUGAUCAGCCACACUGGGACUGAGACACGGCCCAGACUCCUACGGGAGGCAGCAGUGGGGAAUCUUGCGCAAUGGGCGAAAGCCUGACGCAGCCAUGCCGCGUGAAUGAUGAAGGUCUUAGGAUUGUAAAAUUCUUUUAGCAGGGACGAUAAUGACGGUACCUGCAGAAAAAGCCCCGGCUAACUUCGUGCCAGCAGCCGCGGUAA